This 253-nucleotide ribosomal RNA is filed under the name uncultured bacterium. Its description in RNAcentral is "partial 16S ribosomal RNA". It matches the Rfam family "Bacterial small subunit ribosomal RNA", at positions 524 to 776 of the family's 1533-position model. The record is from RNAcentral.
UACAGAGGGUGCGAGCGUUAAUCGGAAUUACUGGGCGUAAAGCGUGCGUAGACGGUAAUGUAAGUCAGAUGUGAAAGCCCCGGGCUCAACCUGGGAAUUGCAUUUGAGACUGCAUUGCUUGGGUGCGGAAGAGGGAAGCGGAAUUUCCGGUGUAGCGGUGAAAUGCGUAGAUAUCGUCUGGAACGCCGAAGGUGAAAACAGCUCGCUGGGGCUGCGCUGACGCUGAGACACGAAAGCCAGGGGAGCGAACGGG